GUCACACGCAGUCCGCUCGGACAUUAAUUCACACCGUAAAUCCGGCGGAUCUAUUUGUCCAUCUGUCAGGAGGGAAGAUGGGAGCCGACGCUGCAAAGCCGGACCGAUUAUCUUUAUGGUCAGCAGUCGCAGAGAUUGUGGGUGAAAUCGAAAAUGUCCCAGUCAGCUGCUCAGGACAUUUUCCAGAGUUCAUUUCUGAAAAGAGCUCAAGUCUGAUAAAGUGUUGGAGUAAGGAGGAGACAAACAUCGAGCGCACACUCCUACUUACUUAUGGAAAAGAUUGUAGCACAUUCACUAGAGGGAUAAAGAGAUGAAAAUAAAAGGUCAAAUUAA
This is a long non-coding RNA of Pleuronectes platessa (European plaice), 333 nucleotides long. RefSeq lists it as uncharacterized. NCBI's taxonomy places the organism in Eukaryota, Metazoa, Chordata, Actinopteri, Pleuronectiformes, Pleuronectidae. The record is from RefSeq and is a predicted model, not a curated record. The transcript has 2 exons.